Molecule: unclassified non-coding RNA, 235 nt
Filed under: uncultured Clavispora
Lineage: Eukaryota; Fungi; Ascomycota; Pichiomycetes; Serinales; Metschnikowiaceae
Description: sequence contains ITS1
Rfam family: 5.8S ribosomal RNA (bases 1-102)
Source: RNAcentral
GAAAUGCGAUACGUAGUACGAAACGCAAGUCGUGAAUCAUCGAAUCUUUGAACGCACAUUGCGCUGUGCGGCAUUCCGCACAGCAUGCCUGUUUGAGCAAUAUUUCUCUCUCGCAAGGUGUUGGGCACCACGCCGGCAGGCGUCUGUCCGAAACGCAGCCGUCCAAAACAGUUAAGCUUGUUACGGACCCUUUGACGUUAUUCUCAAAUCAGGUAGGACUACCCGCUGAACUUAA